Molecule: ribosomal RNA, 990 nt
Filed under: Triticum aestivum (bread wheat)
Lineage: Eukaryota; Viridiplantae; Streptophyta; Magnoliopsida; Poales; Poaceae
Description: partial small subunit ribosomal RNA
Source: RNAcentral
AUGCUACCGAGAAAUAUGCUCGAUGCUGCAACCGGUGCUAUGCGGAGUUUGCAUGACAGUGUUCUUUCUUUGGAGAAGCGGCGUCUCGGAGAGAAGGAUGUGGCAUACCCGGUUUUCGCGGCCAAGGUGCCAGAGGGCAAGUGCUUUGUGGAUAACUCCAUCGGGGGUACGAUCGUCCUGCGGUUUGAUGACAUCCAUGCUAUGUUGAACCUUCAUCCGCUGCACUACACCUUCGUUCGGCUAUUUUUGCUGAGUAUGGAGAUGCGGAUCAUUCGCGAGAAGACCCCGUACAUCGUGAUAGUCGACCCCUUCUACAUGCGUGCCAAGAUCUUGGGCAGCGCUGGGGACCGGCAAGUCGCGAGUUCUUACCUCGAAGGCAUCAUUCUGGCAAACCAAGAUAAGGAUAACUUCCUCGUGCCUUACGUUCCCGAUGACACACGUUGCACGCUCAUCCUCCUAAGCCCCAAAUAUUCCAUGGCCACAUAUUUCGACCCGGACCGUCAGUCGAACAUAGACUACACAAAUGUCAAGAAGGUUCUUGAUGAUGUUCUCCCCGGCUACGUCAAAUCUGGAGGCACCUUCACCAGGCCUAUUCGUAAGUACGGCAAGCACGUGUUCUCCCACAAUACGACGUUCUGCUGCGUCAAGCAGCCAACUGGCGGUCAGAAGGGUGCCUACUACGCCAUCCAUCACAUGGGGGCGAUCGUACGGGACCAUCAUCAACUUCUGCUACCGAGUAGAUUCAAAGAUUGGGCCGCGAGCGUGUCAGCAAUCCAGGACGCGGACAUCAGACAAGAAUUCUUUCGCAUCCAGUCGGAGUUUGCGGAAAUCAUCCAUCAAGAUGUCCUUCGUACCUCGGGGCAGUUCUACCUCAGAAAUCAACCGUCCAACAGUGACAUCGACACAAUCCUACAAAUGCAGGCUGACAACGCCCAUUGUUUCAUGACUCCCACGAUAGACGGUGGCUUCAUCCACACUCCGGUCCCUUGA